This 483-nucleotide ribosomal RNA is filed under the name uncultured bacterium. RNAcentral's name for it is "partial 16S ribosomal RNA". It matches the Rfam family "Bacterial small subunit ribosomal RNA", at positions 28 to 507 of the family's 1533-position model. The record is from RNAcentral.
GACGAACGCUGGCGGCGUGCUUAACACAUGCAAGUCGAACGCUGAAGCUCAGCUUUUGUUGGGUGGAUGAGUGGCGAACGGGUGAGUAACACGUGAGUAACCUGCCCCCUUCUUUGGGAUAACGCCCGGAAACGGGUGCUAAUACUGGAUAUUCACUGGUCUUCGCAUGGGGGUUGGUGGAAAGGGUUUUUCUGGUGGGGGAUGGGCUCGCGGCCUAUCAGCUUGUUGGUGGGGUGUUGGCCUACCAAGGCUUUGACGGGUAGCCGGCCUGAGAGGGUGACCGGUCACAUUGGGACUGAGAUACGGCCCAGACUCCUACGGGAGGCAGCAGUGGGGAAUAUUGCACAAUGGGCGCAAGCCUGAUGCAGCGACGCCGCGUGAGGGAUGGAGGCCUUCGGGUUGUGAACCUCUUUCGCUCAUGGUCAAGCCGCAACAAUGGUUGUGGUGAGGGUAGUGGGUAAAGAAGCGCCGGCUAACUACGUG